GCGGUUCCCAGGCUACUUCCAAACCUCAUG
Molecule: non-coding RNA, 30 nt
Filed under: Cricetulus griseus (Chinese hamster)
Lineage: Eukaryota; Metazoa; Chordata; Mammalia; Rodentia; Cricetidae
Source: RNAcentral